RNAcentral lists this ribosomal RNA (403 nucleotides) under uncultured bacterium. RNAcentral's name for it is "bacterial SSU rRNA". It matches the Rfam family "Bacterial small subunit ribosomal RNA", at positions 355 to 774 of the family's 1533-position model. The record is from RNAcentral.
UGAGGGAUAUUGGUCAAUGGGCGCAAGCCUGAACCAGCGACGCCGCGUGGGUGAAGAAGGUCUUCGGAUCGUAAAGCCCUUUUCCCACUGAAGAGGAAGGACGGUAGGUGGGGAAGAAGUCUCGGCUAACUACGUGCCAGCAGCCGCGGUAAAACGUAGGAGACAAGCGUUAUCCGGAGUUACUGGGCGUAAAGGGCGUGCAGGUGGCGUCUUAAGUCUGUUGUGAAAGUGCCUGGCUUAACCGGGCGAGGCCAAUGGAGACUGAGGGGCUGGAGGACGGCGGAGGGGUGUGGAAUUCCGGGUGUAGUGGUGAAAUGCGUAGAGAUCCGGAGGAACACCAGAGGCGAAGGCGGCACUCUAAGCCGUACCUGACACUGAGACGCGACAGCACGGGGAGCAAACG